This 444-nucleotide ribosomal RNA is filed under the name uncultured bacterium. Its description in RNAcentral is "SSU rRNA". It matches the Rfam family "Bacterial small subunit ribosomal RNA", at positions 26 to 518 of the family's 1533-position model. The record is from RNAcentral.
AGAACGAACGCUGGCGGCAGGCCUAAUACAUGCAAGUCGAACGCACUCUUCGGAGUGAGUGGCAGACGGGUGAGUAACGCGUGGGAACCUUCCAAUGGUACGGAAUAACUCCGGGAAACCGGUGCUAAUACCGUAUAAGCCCCUCGGGGGAAAGAUUUAUCGCCAUUGGAUGGGCCCGCGUCGGAUUAACUAGUUGGUAAGGUAAUGGCUUACCAAGGCUACGAUCCGUAGCUGGUCUGAGAGGAUGAUCAGCCACACUGGGACUGAGACACGGCCCAGACUCCUACGGGAGGCAGCAGUAGGGAAUCUUGGACAAUGGGCGAAAGCCUGAUCCAGCCAUGCCGCGUGAGUGAAGAAGGCCUUAGGGUUGUAAAAGCUCUUUUGGCGGGGACGAUAAUGACGGUACCGCAGAAUAAGCCCGGCUAACUUCGUGCCAGCAGCCGC